UUACGGCCAUAUCACGUUGAAACAACCGUUCCCGCACGAUCACCGAAAGUUAAGAAACGUCGAGCGUGAACAGUACCUAGAUGGGUGACCACUUAGGAAUACCAGAUACUGUAAG
Molecule: non-coding RNA, 115 nt
Organism: Acanthosepion pharaonis
Lineage: Eukaryota; Metazoa; Mollusca; Cephalopoda; Sepiida; Sepiidae
Source: the annotation of a GenBank genome assembly